UACAGAGGGUGCAAGCGUUAAUCGGAAUUACUGGGCGUAAAGGGCGCGUAGGUGGUUGCGUAAGUGGAAUGUGAAAUCCCCGGGCUUAACCUGGGAACUGCAUUUUAGACUGCGUAGCUUGAGUGCAAUAGAGGGUAGUGGAAUUUCCGGUGUAGCGGUGAAAUGCGUAGAUAUCGGAAGGAACACCAGUGGCGAAGGCGGCUACCUGGAUUGACACUGACACUGAGGCGCGAGAGCGUGGGGAGCAAACAGG
RNAcentral lists this ribosomal RNA (253 nucleotides) under uncultured bacterium. RNAcentral's name for it is "partial 16S ribosomal RNA". It matches the Rfam family "Bacterial small subunit ribosomal RNA", at positions 524 to 776 of the family's 1533-position model. The record is from RNAcentral.